UACGUAGGUGGCAAGCGUUGUCCGGAUUUACUGGGCGUAAAGGGUGCGUAGGCGGCGCGGAAAGUUGGGUGUGAAAUCCCUCGGCUUAACCGAGGAAUGGCGCUCAAAACUACCGUGCUUGAGGAAGACAGGGGUGAGCGGAACUUAGGGUGGAGCGGUGAAAUGCGUUGAUAUCCUAAGGAACACCGGUGGCGAAAGCGGCUCACUGGGUCUUUUCUGACGCUGAGGCACGAAAGCCAGGGUAGCGAACGGG
This 253-nucleotide ribosomal RNA is filed under the name uncultured bacterium. RNAcentral describes it as "partial 16S ribosomal RNA". It matches the Rfam family "Bacterial small subunit ribosomal RNA", at positions 524 to 776 of the family's 1533-position model. The record is from RNAcentral.